This 98-nucleotide non-coding RNA is filed under the name Cetobacterium ceti. Its description in RNAcentral is "Guanine sequence". It matches the Rfam family "Purine riboswitch aptamer". From Rfam's summary of the family: Riboswitches are metabolite binding domains within certain messenger RNAs that serve as precision sensors for their corresponding targets. Allosteric rearrangement of mRNA structure is mediated by ligand binding, and this results in modulation of gene expression. A class of riboswitches that selectively recognises guanine and becomes saturated at concentrations as low as 5 nM. Lineage: Bacteria; Fusobacteriati; Fusobacteriota; Fusobacteriia; Fusobacteriales; Fusobacteriaceae. The record is from Rfam by way of RNAcentral.
UACGUAAAACCUAGUUUUACUAAUAUAAUUCUGUAAUAGGGUCAGAAGUUUCUACAAAUCGCCGUAAACGAUUUAUUAUUAGGAGGAUGAAUGGAAAA